CUGCGGAGCGCCAGUGAAGUUGGCUGGGAUUCGGACCGUGUGCGCAAGGGCCUCUUGUGUAUGCACAGACUGAUGUGGUGACCUUGCUCUCCUGGGCUGGGCUGAAGCCGCGUCAGGCACGGACAGACAUUUAUGUUUCAGAUGACACCUGGGACGCUCCUGAAGAGCUUGUGAACUGACACCAACUGGUGACCUAAAAGUAAAGGUUUUCAGGAAUUGAAGCAGAUGACAGCCAAAGAGACAGCUUUGCCAACACCCUUGACCAGAUCUCUGCAGAACGGAGGCACCAAAUAGGUGAUGCUGGCUCGGUGCUUUGAGAUGAUCUCCAGUGCUUACAACCUUGAUAAAGAAUGGUAGUCAGGUGGAAGAUGCCUGAGAAUCUCCCUCCUCCCCUUCCUUGUUAUUCAAAUGUGGCCCCACAGUUUCCAGUCUGCACACAAUCCCUUCAAUGUAAAACAUGACAACUGGGAGAGGACCUUCCUGGCACUGAGGCACAAAGCGACUGAAUGUGAAAAAACUCUUGAUCAGCAAGCUUUCAAGAAAAGCCCUCGGUCAAAGGGGGAAAUGGAAAACGAUGAAAGGAAACCUCAUAAAAAAUGGAGUCAGGAAGCCCUGAAGGAGGCGCUCGCAUGCUCUUACCCUCCUCACACCCUGCAUACCCAGUAGGGAGAAGGGAGAAAUUCUUAACCUUCACAAGGGAGGACACAAUUCAUAUAGGAAUCUAUCUCCUCCUUUUCUGAAAAAAGGAAGAUCUCUCCCUGCCCCAGCAGCAACGCGCUAACCAUCCGUUGGAACCAAUGAGAAAACUCUACAACCUCAAACUCUUCUUCUCCAAAAAAUUAUGUACAA
Ailuropoda melanoleuca (giant panda) is the source of this 849-nucleotide long non-coding RNA. RefSeq lists it as uncharacterized. Lineage: Eukaryota; Metazoa; Chordata; Mammalia; Carnivora; Ursidae. The record is from RefSeq and is a predicted model, not a curated record. The transcript is spliced from 4 exons.